GUACUUUUAUUUUUUGAAGGGCAUCUAAUCCUAUAAGGGACUUCAAAAUGUUAGACUCUGAGCAAGUUCCCUGCACCAGAAAGUUAAGGUCAAAAUCAUGCAGGUGUCUUAUGUUUUCCUCUUUCUUCAAGAAAAAAGGAAAAAGCUGGCAAGAAAAGGAAUGGAUCUUGCAUUACACCCUGUUUCCUAUUAGGAGGAAAGAACGAAAAGCAAGUUUGUCAGUGUCUAAUGGGGGCAUUACAGACAGUGCCAACAGAGCUAAGAAUUCCUGCGGUGACGGACAAAAAGGAGGUUCCAAGCAGUGUUAUGAUUCUUCUGGGUAGAACUAGAUUCCAUGAGUGCACCAUAUUCUAAAGAAUUGCCACAGAGAAUAGCUACUAUGUGGAUCAGAAAGAUGCUGCUGUCAUCUCACCCUGAAGAGUGAGAAAUGCAAAAUGAUUAAAAAAACAAUGAAACCAACUGAAUCUGAGUCUAG
Long non-coding RNA from Dermochelys coriacea (leatherback sea turtle), 475 nucleotides. RefSeq lists it as uncharacterized. The transcript is spliced from 3 exons. The record is from RefSeq and is a predicted model, not a curated record. Lineage: Eukaryota; Metazoa; Chordata; Testudines; Dermochelyidae.